This 516-nucleotide ribosomal RNA is filed under the name Dactylina arctica. RNAcentral describes it as "eukaryotic LSU rRNA". It matches the Rfam family "Eukaryotic large subunit ribosomal RNA", at positions 111 to 641 of the family's 3401-position model. The record is from RNAcentral. Lineage: Eukaryota; Fungi; Ascomycota; Lecanoromycetes; Lecanorales; Parmeliaceae.
AAAUUUGAAAUCUGGCCCUUUCAGGGUCCGAGUUGUAAUUUGUAGAGAGUGUUUCGGGUGAGACCGCGGUCUAAGUCCAUUGGAACAUGGCGUCAUAGAGGGUGAGAAUCCCGUAUGUGACUGUGGAUCGAGCCCAUGUGAAGCCUCUUCGACGAGUCGAGUUGUUUGGGAAUGCAGCUCAAAAUGGGUGGUAAAUUUCAUCUAAAGCUAAAUACUGGCUGGAGACCGAUAGCGCACAAGUAGAGUGAUCGAAAGAUGAAAAGCACUUUGGAAAGAGAGUCAAACAGUACGUGAAAUUGUUGAAAGGGAAGCGCUUGCAACCAGACCUGCCCGUAGGUGAUCGGCCGCUGUUCUCAGUGGUGCACUCGCUCUGCGAUCAGGCCAGCAUCGGUUCUGGCGGCCGGAUAACGGCCUUGGGAAUGUAGCUCCCUCCGGGGAGUCUUAUAGCCCUCGGUGCAAUGCGGCCAGUCGGGACCGAGGACCGCGCUUAGGCUAGGAUGCUGGCGUAAUGGUUGU